CAGUCGCCGCGGUAAUACGAGGGGGGCAAGCGUUGUUCGGAAUUAUUGGGCGUAAAGGGUGCGUAGGCGGUUCAGCAAGUCUCGUGUGAAAUCUUCGGGCUCAACCCGAAGUCUGCACGGGAAACUACUGGGCUUGAGUAUGGGAGAGGUGAGUGGAAUUUCCGGUGUAGCGGUGAAAUGCGUAGAUAUCGGAAGGAACACCUGUGGCGAAAGCGGCUCACUGGACCAUAACUGACGCUGAUGCACGAAAGCUAGGGGAGCAAACAGGAUUAGAUACCCGCGUAGUCCCUGUCUCUUAUAC
This 301-nucleotide ribosomal RNA is filed under the name uncultured bacterium. RNAcentral describes it as "partial 16S ribosomal RNA". It matches the Rfam family "Bacterial small subunit ribosomal RNA", at positions 509 to 807 of the family's 1533-position model. The record is from RNAcentral.